CCUACGGGUGGCAGCAGUGAGGAAUAUUGGUCAAUGGACGAGAGUCUGAACCAGCCAAGUAGCGUGAAGGAUGACUGCCCUAUGGGUUGUAAACUUCUUUUAUAUGGGAAUAAAACGUUCCACGUGUGGGAUUUUGUAUGUACCAUAUGAAUAAGGAUCGGCUAACUCCGUGCCAGCAGCCGCGGUAAUACGGAGGAUCCGAGCGUUAUCCGGAUUUAUUGGGUUUAACGGGAGCGUAGGUGGAUUGUUAAGUCAGUUGUGAAAGUUUGCGGCUCAACCGUAAAAUUGCAGUUGAAACUGGCAGUCUUGAGUACAGUAGAGGUGGGCUGAAUUCGUGGUGUAGCGGUGAAAUGCUUAGAUAUCACGAAGAACUCCGAUUGCGAAGGCAGUUCACUGGACUGCAACUGACACUGAGGCUCGAAAGUGUGGGUAUCAAACAGGAUUAGAUACCCUUGUAGUC
This 460-nucleotide ribosomal RNA is filed under the name uncultured bacterium. RNAcentral's name for it is "partial 16S ribosomal RNA". It matches the Rfam family "Bacterial small subunit ribosomal RNA", at positions 338 to 795 of the family's 1533-position model. The record is from RNAcentral.